UACGUAGGGUGCAAGCGUUGUCCGGAAUUAUUGGGCGUAAAGAGCUCGUAGGCGGUUUGUCGCGUCUGCUGUGAAAACCCGAGGCUCAACCUCGGGCCUGCAGUGGGUACGGGCAGACUAGAGUGCGGUAGGGGAGAUUGGAAUUCCUGGUGUAGCGGUGGAAUGCGCAGAUAUCAGGAGGAACACCGAUGGCGAAGGCAGCUCGCUGGGACGGUACUGACGCUGAGGCGCGAAAGCGUGGGGAGCGAACAGG
This 253-nucleotide ribosomal RNA is filed under the name uncultured bacterium. RNAcentral describes it as "partial 16S ribosomal RNA". It matches the Rfam family "Bacterial small subunit ribosomal RNA", at positions 524 to 776 of the family's 1533-position model. The record is from RNAcentral.